UGGGGAAUAUUGCGCAAUGGGCGAAAGCCUGACGCAGCGACGCCGCGUGAGGGAUGAAGGUUUUCGGAUCGUAAACCUCUUUCAGAAGGGAAGAAACCGCACUGUGCUAAUCAGCAGUGCCUUGACGGUACCUUCAAAGGAAGCACCGGCUAACUCCGUGCCAGCAGCCGCGGUAAUACGGAGGGUGCAAGCGUUAAUCGGAAUUACUGGGCGUAAAGCGCACGUAGGCUGCUUUGUAAGUCAGGGGUGAAAUCCCACGGCUCAACCGUGGAACUGCCUUUGAUACUGCUUAGCUUGAAGCCGGGAGAGGGUGGCGGAAUUCCAGGUGUAGGAGUGAAAUCCGUAGAUAUCUGGAGGAACAUCAGUGGCGAAGGCGGCCACCUGGACCGGUAUUGACGCUGAGGUGCGAAAGCGUGGGGAGCAAACAGG
This 429-nucleotide ribosomal RNA is filed under the name Fusobacteriota bacterium. RNAcentral's name for it is "Fusobacteria bacterium partial 16S ribosomal RNA". It matches the Rfam family "Bacterial small subunit ribosomal RNA", at positions 355 to 776 of the family's 1533-position model. The record is from RNAcentral. Lineage: Bacteria; Fusobacteriati; Fusobacteriota.